UUUCCGUAGGUGAACCCGCGGAAGGAUCAUUAAAGAGUAAGGGUCUUCGGGCCCGAUCUCCAACCCUUUGUUUAACUACCAUGUUGCUUUGGCGGGCCCGUCUCACGACCGCCGGAAGUUUGGCUUCGACCAAACUUCUGGCCCGUGCCCGUCAGUGGCCCCUUCAAAUUCUUGAUCAAGUAUGAUGUCUUAGUUAAAAACUUAAUAGUUAAAACUUUCAACAACGGAUCUCUUGGUUCUG
This 241-nucleotide unclassified non-coding RNA is filed under the name plant metagenome. RNAcentral describes it as "partial contains small subunit ribosomal RNA, internal transcribed spacer 1, and 5.8S ribosomal RNA". The record is from RNAcentral.